GUUAAUGUAGCUUAAUCUCAAAGCAAGGCACUGAAAAUGCCUAGAUGGGCGCUCAGCCCCGUAAACA
This 67-nucleotide transfer RNA is filed under the name Camelops cf. hesternus PDH-2015. RNAcentral describes it as "tRNA-Phe". It matches the Rfam family "tRNA". Rfam says of the family: Transfer RNA (tRNA) molecules are approximately 80 nucleotides in length. Their secondary structure includes four short double-helical elements and three loops (D, anti-codon, and T loops). The record is from RNAcentral. RNAcentral also lists the same sequence under 1 other name. Lineage: Eukaryota; Metazoa; Chordata; Mammalia; Artiodactyla; Camelidae.